RNAcentral lists this ribosomal RNA (329 nucleotides) under uncultured eukaryote. RNAcentral's name for it is "partial 18S ribosomal RNA". It matches the Rfam family "Eukaryotic small subunit ribosomal RNA", at positions 1470 to 1796 of the family's 1831-position model. The record is from RNAcentral.
CCCUUAGAUGUUCUGGGCGGCACGCGCGCUACACUGACAGAGCCAACGAGUACAUCACCUUGGCCGGAAGGUCUGGGUAAUCUUGUUAAACUCUGUCGUGCUGGGGAUAGAGCAUUGCAAUUGUUGCUCUUCAACGAGGAAUGCCUAGUAAGCGCGUGUCAUCAGCACGCGUUGAUUACGUCCCUGCCCUUUGUACACACCGCCCGUCGCUACUACCGAUUGAAUGGCUGAGUGAGGCCUCCGGACUGGCUCAGGGAGGUUGGCAACGACCACCCAGGGCCGGGAAGUUGGUCAAACUUGGUCAUUUAGAGGAAGUAAAAGUCGUAACA